This 256-nucleotide ribosomal RNA is filed under the name uncultured bacterium. RNAcentral describes it as "partial 16S ribosomal RNA". It matches the Rfam family "Bacterial small subunit ribosomal RNA", at positions 524 to 777 of the family's 1533-position model. The record is from RNAcentral.
UACGAAGGGGGCUAGCGUUGUUCGGAAUUACUGGGCGUAAAGCGCGCGCAGGCGGCCAUUCAAGUCAGGGGUGAAAGCCCAGAGCUCAACUCUGGAACUGCCCUUGAAACUGUAUGGCUUGAGUAUGAGAGAGGUGAGUGGAAUUCCCAGUGUAGAGGUGAAAGUUCGUAGAUAUUGGGAAGAACACCGGUGGCGAAGGCGGCUCACUGGCUCAUUACUGACGCUCAGGCGCGACAGCGUGGGGAGUCAAACAGGA